This 57-nucleotide transfer RNA is filed under the name Triticum turgidum (rivet wheat). RNAcentral's name for it is "partial tRNA-Thr". It matches the Rfam family "tRNA", at positions 17 to 71 of the family's 71-position model. Rfam says of the family: Transfer RNA (tRNA) molecules are approximately 80 nucleotides in length. Their secondary structure includes four short double-helical elements and three loops (D, anti-codon, and T loops). Lineage: Eukaryota; Viridiplantae; Streptophyta; Magnoliopsida; Poales; Poaceae. The record is from RNAcentral. RNAcentral also lists the same sequence under 1 other name.
GGUUAGAGCAUCGCAUUUGUAAUGCGAGGGUCAUCGGUUCAAAUCCGAUAGUCGGCU